UACAGAGGAGGCAAGCGUUAUUCGGAAUUAUUGGGCGUAAAGGGCGCGUAGGCGGCCAUUCAAGUGACGGGUGAAAGCCCCGGGCUCAACCUGGGAACUGCAUUUGAAACUGGCGGGCUUGAGUGUGGCAGAGGGGGGUGGAAUUCCGCGUGUAGCAGUGAAAUGCGUAGAGAUGCGGAGGAACACCGAUGGCGAAGGCAGCCCCCUGGGCCAACACUGACGCUCAGGCACGAAAGCGUGGGGAGCAAACAGG
This 253-nucleotide ribosomal RNA is filed under the name uncultured bacterium. Its description in RNAcentral is "partial 16S ribosomal RNA". It matches the Rfam family "Bacterial small subunit ribosomal RNA", at positions 524 to 776 of the family's 1533-position model. The record is from RNAcentral.